CAGGGCGUGGUCUAGCAGCUAUGACGCCGCUUUCGGGAAGCGGAAAUCGAGAGUGCAAUUCUCUCCGCCCUGA
RNAcentral lists this transfer RNA (73 nucleotides) under Candidatus Staskawiczbacteria bacterium. RNAcentral describes it as "tRNA-Pro". It matches the Rfam family "tRNA". Rfam says of the family: Transfer RNA (tRNA) molecules are approximately 80 nucleotides in length. Their secondary structure includes four short double-helical elements and three loops (D, anti-codon, and T loops). The record is from RNAcentral. Lineage: Bacteria; Candidatus Staskawicziibacteriota.